UUUUUGGCAGUAUUUGGCAAAAGGAUAUUGAGCACAAAAGAUAUACUGCAAAAAGAUAUAAUUUGCAGUUUUGCACAAGUUUAGAUUCCUGUCUUGGCUCAACAUGAAAGCUAAGAAUACCUUGGCAUAACAUAACCACUAUUACAAAAUGCUAUCAAAGCUACAUUCCCUAAUUAACAUAUUCCUCUAAUUCCUUUUUCCUUUUGUCCACCGACCAUAACAUAGUAUUACUCACAUCCAAUAGUAUGAAAACAAUAGCAGAAGAAUGAGCUUCAACCACACUAAACUUUGGUCCUGCCUUGCCAAUGAAGGUGGAGCAUAAGAACCAACAGAUCCAGGUGAAGAAUAGUCACAAUUUCCAUAACCUAAAGAGAGAAAAAAAAAACACACACACAAAAAGGUUGAGUAUUAAGCACGGAUAAUAAAGCAUCCAUCAGUACUAUGUGCACUUAAUUUUCAGAAAGCACACCCACCAAUAAUGCUUCAAAUGAAAUCUUUGUCAUCAAGAAUAAUGCUUUUUCUUGUAGAAAAUAAGUAAGUAUAUAAUAAAAAUAGUUUCAAACAAUUGUACACCGAGUUCAAUUGUAUCGGAAGUGUAUUUGACAAAAUCACGGUGACUUUAUUGAAACUCUAAAGUGUAGCUUUUACAGAAUCACAUUGACGCAUUGUGAUUCUAUUAAACUAACUGCGAAACUAAACAUGAAAUUGUCUGAGCAGUGAUGAACACAUGUCUUUACCUCUUUCAACCCUCACCCAUAUCAAUAAAAGAACAAAGAUGAAAGGUAGAAGUUACUGAAAUCUUCUAAACAGUGAUAUAUAUAUUUCACCAAGAAGCAAGAAAUUCAGUAAGGAACACACAAUUGAUACUUAUUCUAUCGCGGAUCAUGUAAAUUGAAUGCUAAAACCGAUACACAUAAAUCAAUCAAUUAACUUCUCACCUGUGCAGUAGCGCCUUUUGGGGUCGAAAGUAAAACUUGAUCAAUUCCAUUUGAGUCCUUUGUAACUUCAGUUACCGGCCCAGAGUCCCUCACAGCUCCAGAGUCCCUCACUGCUCCAGAAUGCGCCAUUGUAAAUGAUUUAGGUCCUAUAUUUGAUCACUCUUUUAGCAAACUCUGAUAAGCUUAUUAAACUCGGUACACGCCAGUCC
This 1147-nucleotide long non-coding RNA is filed under the name Trifolium pratense (red clover). RNAcentral's name for it is "long non-coding RNA (TPRA_LNC004769)". Lineage: Eukaryota; Viridiplantae; Streptophyta; Magnoliopsida; Fabales; Fabaceae. The record is from RNAcentral.